ACGGGAGGCAGCAGUGAGGAAUAUUGGUCAAUGGGCGGAAGCCUGAACCAGCCAAGUCGCGUGAAGGAUGAAGGUAUUAUGUAUUGUAAACUUCUUUUACCAGGGACGAACGAAAUGACGGUACCUGGAGAAAAAGCAACGGCUAACUACGUGCCAGCAGCCGCGGUAAUACGUAGGUUGCAAGCGUUGUCCGGAUUUACUGGGUGUAAAGGGCGUGUAGGCGGAGCUGCAAGUCAGAUGUGAAAUCCCGGGGCUCAACCCCGGAACUGCAUUUGAAACUGUAGCCCUUGAGUAUCGGAGAGGCAAGCGGAAUUCCUAGUGUAGCGGUGAAAUGCGUAGAUAUUAGGAGGAACACCAGUGGCGAAGGCGGCUUGCUGGACGACAACUGACGCUGAGGCGCGAAAGCGUGGGGAGCAAACAGGAUUAGAUACCCUGGUA
Molecule: ribosomal RNA, 438 nt
Filed under: uncultured Pseudoflavonifractor sp.
Lineage: Bacteria; Bacillati; Bacillota; Clostridia; Eubacteriales; Oscillospiraceae
Description: partial 16S ribosomal RNA
Rfam family: Bacterial small subunit ribosomal RNA
Source: RNAcentral